Molecule: ribosomal RNA, 601 nt
Filed under: Escherichia coli
Lineage: Bacteria; Pseudomonadati; Pseudomonadota; Gammaproteobacteria; Enterobacterales; Enterobacteriaceae
Description: partial 23S ribosomal RNA
Rfam family: Bacterial large subunit ribosomal RNA
Source: RNAcentral
GGUGACUGCGUACCUUUUGUAUAAUGGGUCAGCGACUUAUAUUCUGUAGCAAGGUUAACCGAAUAGGGGAGCCGAAGGGAAACCGAGUCUUAACUGGGCGUUAAGUUGCAGGGUAUAGACCCGAAACCCGGUGAUCUAGCCAUGGGCAGGUUGAAGGUUGGGUAACACUAACUGGAGGACCGAACCGACUAAUGUUGAAAAAUUAGCGGAUGACUUGUGGCUGGGGGUGAAAGGCCAAUCAAACCGGGAGAUAGCUGGUUCUCCCCGAAAGCUAUUUAGGUAGCGCCUCGUGAAUUCAUCUCCGGGGGUAGAGCACUGUUUCGGCAAGGGGGUCAUCCCGACUUACCAACCCGAUGCAAACUGCGAAUACCGGAGAAUGUUAUCACGGGAGACACACGGCGGGUGCUAACGUCCGUCGUGAAGAGGGAAACAACCCAGACCGCCAGCUAAGGUCCCAAAGUCAUGGUUAAGUGGGAAACGAUGUGGGAAGGCCCAGACAGCCAGGAUGUUGGCUUAGAAGCAGCCAUCAUUUAAAGAAAGCGUAAUAGCUCACUGGUCGAGUCGGCCUGCGCGGAAGAUGUAACGGGGCUAAACCAUGCAC